This 74-nucleotide transfer RNA is filed under the name Pyropia fucicola. RNAcentral describes it as "tRNA-Arg". It matches the Rfam family "tRNA". From Rfam's summary of the family: Transfer RNA (tRNA) molecules are approximately 80 nucleotides in length. Their secondary structure includes four short double-helical elements and three loops (D, anti-codon, and T loops). Lineage: Eukaryota; Rhodophyta; Bangiophyceae; Bangiales; Bangiaceae. The record is from RNAcentral.
AGGGUUGUAGCUCAGAAGGAUAGAGCAAGCGCCUCCUAAGCGCUAGGUCAGCGGUUCAAGUCCGCUCAACCCUG